Molecule: transfer RNA, 77 nt
Filed under: Kangiella sp.
Lineage: Bacteria; Pseudomonadati; Pseudomonadota; Gammaproteobacteria; Kangiellales; Kangiellaceae
Also listed under: 1 other name
Description: tRNA-Met
Rfam family: tRNA
About the family: Transfer RNA (tRNA) molecules are approximately 80 nucleotides in length. Their secondary structure includes four short double-helical elements and three loops (D, anti-codon, and T loops).
Source: RNAcentral
GGCAAGGUAGCUCAGCUGGUUAGAGCACAUCACUCAUAAUGAUGGGGUCGGUGGUUCAAAUCCACUUCUUGCUACCA